CUGACUCUGCAACAAAUAGCUAUCGGACAAAAGUCUUACAAAAGCUACAAGAGAUUGUCGACAACCAGCAAGACAUCCUGGCCAUGCAGAGACAGUUACUGGCUGCAGUAGCGGUUACGGUGACAGAGGAAGGUGGGGAAAUCCUGGAAAAUGGGCCAUGCCAAACAGUGGAUGAACUGAAGAUCCUUGACAGGGAAUUGGAAAACAAAGAAAAAAGUGCCAAGAUGAAGAACUACCUUCGGUCC
Pimephales promelas (fathead minnow) is the source of this 245-nucleotide non-coding RNA. Lineage: Eukaryota; Metazoa; Chordata; Actinopteri; Cypriniformes; Leuciscidae. The record is from RefSeq and is a predicted model, not a curated record.